GUGCGAGACCGAUAGCGAACAAGUACCGUGAGGGAAAGAUGAAAAGAACUUUGAAAAGAGAGUUAAAGAGUACCUGAAACUGCUGAAAGGGAAGCGAAUCGUAUCCAGUGUCUAUAAUCUGCGGCAUAUUUCAUUGGCGGCAGUGUGCGUGCUUUUGCGUCGGAAGCGGCUUUUGUUGCUCUGUGCUUUUGCUGUGCGUGCUGUUGCUGGUGCCCUGUGUUGCGGUGGGACGUCAGAGUCAGUUCGUAUGCUGCGGGAAAUGGCCGCCGAGGAGGUAGGUCAGGACUUCGGUCUUGGCUGUUAUAUCUUGGUGGUUUGUUGUCGUGGUUGGGACUGGGGUGCCUACAAUGUGCUUUUGAGUGUGCCGGGUUCUCAUUUGGUGGACUGUUUGGAUAGCUUGCUAUGCUUGUGGUUUUUUCAUCGAGUGAUUGAGUCUGGUGGUAACUUGUUGCUGUUCGGGACUUUGAA
This 468-nucleotide ribosomal RNA is filed under the name uncultured Oomycota. RNAcentral's name for it is "LSU rRNA". It matches the Rfam family "Eukaryotic large subunit ribosomal RNA", at positions 326 to 630 of the family's 3401-position model. Lineage: Eukaryota; Oomycota. The record is from RNAcentral.